This is a long non-coding RNA of Solanum pennellii, 559 nucleotides long. RefSeq lists it as uncharacterized. The transcript has 2 exons. The record is from RefSeq and is a predicted model, not a curated record. NCBI's taxonomy places the organism in Eukaryota, Viridiplantae, Streptophyta, Magnoliopsida, Solanales, Solanaceae.
UUGAAAUGGGUAAUAAGAAUGGCGGCGAGACAUGUGUUAAGAGAUAGAGAAAUGGAGAGAAUACGGCGACAAUGGAGUUAUCGUCAGCUCCAAAACCUUAUUCUUUUUUCCCCCAAAACAAAAUUAAAAUAGGGGGUUUGAUGAGUAAGCUGACAAAAUUGAUUCUCAAAUCAGCCAUAGCCACAGGAGAGAAGUACGGCGAUAAAGAAGUUGCCGGAAUCGUGUUGCUCAUCGAGACUUAAUAGAGACAACUAUGACAGAGAUGAGAAACCCCAGCUAGAGCUCGUGAAGUCGAUAUUAUUGGUGAAUUUUUCAUUGGUUCAAGGUGGCCUUUAUCAUUUAUUCUUGUCCUUCCUUUAUAACUCGUAAUAUUGCUCCAUUUGUUAGUUUCAUGUGUACUUUGUUCAUCAUGCGUUAAAAUUUCUUAUUGAUAGACCUUGGUCUAUUGUCUGACAAGUAGGAAGUUAGUACGAUGAAGAAUGGAUUAAUCGAAUGAGAAUACACAGAUGGAGGAAUAUGGACAUACAUUUCAUGUCAAAAUAGAUUUUACCUUUUUCUA